AUGAAGGGCAUCCCUGCAAUGUUGGAUCUGCAUCAUUUUCCAAUCAUUCAAGAGGAAGCGGAUCCUCUUGAAGAAGCUUCUCACCAGCAAAGCCAGGAAGUGGAAGGAAUGCCUGAUCUGGAACUCAAUCUUCAGGUGUUGAAUCUGUCAGCACCAAGAAUAUGUAGUCUACAAGCCAAACUAGAGGAACAGAGCCAGGAUAUUCAGGAGACCCAUAUGUUACUGAUGAAAGUAGCAUGCACAGCAGGAACUCCUAGAGUGAUUUCAGAGCACACAAUUAAUCAAGCCAUGGCACGACCUUGGAGACAACAUUUCUAUGCAAUAUCCCAGGUAUCUACUAAUCUGUUCACGGCAUAUUUUAAUUCUCAAGAGGACAUGAUGUUUGUCUUCACAUGA
RNAcentral lists this ribosomal RNA (396 nucleotides) under Triticum aestivum (bread wheat). RNAcentral describes it as "partial small subunit ribosomal RNA". The record is from RNAcentral. Lineage: Eukaryota; Viridiplantae; Streptophyta; Magnoliopsida; Poales; Poaceae.